UACGUAGGGGGCAAGCGUUGUCCGGAAUCAUUGGGCGUAAAGCGCGCGUAGGCGGCCCUGUAAGUCCGUUGUGAAAGUCAAAGGCUCAACCUUUGAAAGCCGAUGGAUACUGCAGGGCUAGAGUCCGGAAGAGGCGAGUGGAAUUCCUGGUGUAGCGGUGGAAUGCGCAGAUAUCAAGAGGAACACCUGCGGCGAAGGCGGGUUGCUGGGCCGACACUGACGCUGAGGCGCGAAAGCCAGGGGAGCGAACGGG
Molecule: ribosomal RNA, 253 nt
Filed under: uncultured bacterium
Lineage: Bacteria
Description: partial 16S ribosomal RNA
Rfam family: Bacterial small subunit ribosomal RNA
Source: RNAcentral